Molecule: ribosomal RNA, 500 nt
Filed under: uncultured bacterium
Lineage: Bacteria
Description: bacterial SSU rRNA
Rfam family: Bacterial small subunit ribosomal RNA
Source: RNAcentral
GCUAACGCUGGCGGCGUGUCUUAGCCAUGCAAGUCGAGCGGACUUAUGGGGUAACUUAUAAGUCAGCGGCGGACGGCGGAGUAACACGUAGCUAACCUACCCUCUGGACGGGGAUAACCUAACCGAAAGGUGGGCUAAUACCCGAUGUAGUCAUCCUGUAUAGGGGUGAUGAAAGGUGGGCUUCUGUUUACAAGCUCAUGCUGGAGGGAGGGGGCGUGCGGCCUAUCAGGUAGUUGGUAGGGUAAUAGCCUACCAAGCCGAUGACGGGUAGCCGGCCUGAGAGGGUGACCGGCCCGAGGGGCACUGAGAUACGGGUCCCACUCCUACGGGAGGCAGCAGGCUAGAAAUUUGGGCAAUGGGGGAAACCCUGACCCAGUGACGCCGCGUGCAGGAAGGAGCCCUUCGGGGUGUAAACUGCUGUCGUGUAGGGAGAAGGGUACUAAGGUGAACAAUCUUAGUACUUGACGGUACUACAGGAGGAAGCCCAGGCUAACCUCGUG